This 1247-nucleotide ribosomal RNA is filed under the name 'Triticum aestivum' phytoplasma. Its description in RNAcentral is "bacterial SSU rRNA". It matches the Rfam family "Bacterial small subunit ribosomal RNA", at positions 153 to 1399 of the family's 1533-position model. Lineage: Bacteria; Bacillati; Mycoplasmatota; Mollicutes; Acholeplasmatales; Acholeplasmataceae. RNAcentral also lists the same sequence under 1 other name. The record is from RNAcentral.
GAAACAGUUGCUAAGACUGGAUAGGAAAUUAGAAGGCAUCUUUUAAUUUUUAAAAGACCUUUUUCGAAAGGUAUACUUAAAGAGGGGCUUGCGGCACAUUAGUUAGUUGGUAGGGUAAAAGCCUACCAAGACCAUGAUGUGUAGCUGGACUGAGAGGUUGAACAGCCACAUUGGGACUGAGACACGGCCCAAACUCCUACGGGAGGCAGCAGUAGGGAAUUUUCGGCAAUGGAGGAAACUCUGACCGAGCAACGCCGCGUGAACGAUGAAGUAUUUCGGUAUGUAAAGUUCUUUUAUUGGAGAAGAAAAAAUAGUGGAAAAACUAUCUUGACGAUAUUCAAUGAAUAAGCCCCGGCAAACUAUGUGCCAGCAGCCGCGGUAAUACAUAGGGGGCGAGCGUUAUCCGGAAUUAUUGGGCGUAAAGGGUGCGUAGGCGGUUUGGUAAGUCUAUAGUUUAAUUUCAGUGCUUAACACUGUUCUGCUAUAGAAACUAUCAGACUAGAGUGAGAUAGAGGCAAGUGGAAUUCCAUGUGUAGCGGUAAAAUGCGUAAAUAUAUGGAGGAACACCAGAGGCGUAGGCGGCUUGCUGGGUCUUUACUGACGCUGAGGCACGAAAGCGUGGGGAGCAAACAGGAUUAGAUACCCUGGUAGUCCACGCCGUAAACGAUGAGUACUAAGUGUCGGGGAAACUCGGUACUGAAGUUAACACAUUAAGUACUCCGCCUGAGUAGUACGUACGCAAGUAUGAAACUUAAAGGAAUUGACGGGACUCCGCACAAGCGGUGGAUCAUGUUGUUUAAUUCGAAGAUACACGAAAAACCUUACCAGGUCUUGACAUACUCUGCAAAGCUAUAGCAAUAUAGUGGAGGUUAUCAGGGAUACAGGUGGUGCAUGGUUGUCGUCAGCUCGUGUCGUGAGAUGUUAGGUUAAGUCCUAAAACGAGCGCAACCCUUGUCACUAGUUGCCAGCAUGUUAUGAUGGGCACUUUAGUGAGACUGCCAAUGAAAAAUUGGAGGAAGGUGAGGAUCACGUCAAAUCAUCAUGCCCCUUAUGAUCUGGGCUACAAACGUGAUACAAUGGCUGUUACAAAGAGUAGCUAAAACGCGAGUUUAUAGCCAAUCUCAUAAAAGCAGUCUCAGUUCGGAUUGAAGUCUGCAACUCGACUUCAUGAAGUUGGAAUCGCUAGUAAUCGCGAAUCAGCAUGUCGCGGUGAAUACGUUCUCGGGGUUUGUACACACCGCCCGUCA